AUGGAACAAGCUCUCAAGCAGGCAGAUGCUAUUUUGGAAGUGGCAGAGCACGAGGAACAUGCUCCCGAGGAGAUUCAGGCCACUAUAGUAGAUGACGAGUUGAAGAAGCUUAAUCUGAAGAAAAAGCCGAGGAGGCGCAAGGGUAAGAACAAGGUUGUGGACGAAUCCCUCUCUGACCCAAAUGCCUACGAAGCUCGUCUUCGUCGAAAGUUCUGGGAUUCAACAUUUGCUGGCCCACGAUAUGGUUGCUAUGAGACCACAACUUCUAUCCCUCCCAUGCGAUUCACUGAUGAUGAGUGUGACCUCGCUGCCCCACUUGAGACUCUUCAGGUUUUUUCAGUGAAAGUCGUUGGAGUAAAGAAGGGGAUAUCUUGGCCACUUAGUCUCUAUGGCAAGAUUGCAGCACGCGACACAGUGGAUCGCAAUCGCAAUAUCAUCUUUGAUUGCGAGCACUGA
RNAcentral lists this ribosomal RNA (456 nucleotides) under Triticum aestivum (bread wheat). RNAcentral describes it as "partial small subunit ribosomal RNA". The record is from RNAcentral. Lineage: Eukaryota; Viridiplantae; Streptophyta; Magnoliopsida; Poales; Poaceae.